CCUACGGGAGGCAGCAGUGAGGAAUAUUGGUCAAUGGCCGGAAGGCUGAACCAGCCAAGCCGCGUGAAGGACGAAGGUGCCAAGCAUUGUAAACUUCUUUUGUCAAGGGACAAAAUCAGGCUCGAGAGCCUGACCGAGGGUACUUGAAGAAAAAGCAUCGGCUAACUCCGUGCCAGCAGCCGCGGUAAUACGGAGGAUGCGAGCGUUAUCCGGAUUUAUUGGGUUUAAAGGGUGCGUAGGCGGACUGUUAAGUCAGCGGUAAAAGCCCGGGGCUCAACUUCGGAAGUGCCUCUGAUACUGUGCGGCUAGAGAGUAGGUGCGGUAGGCGGAAUGUAUGGUGUAGCGGUGAAAUGCUUAGAGAUCAUACAGAACACCGAUUGCGAAGGCAGCUUACCAAGCUACUUCUGACGUUGAGGCACGAAAGCGUGGGGAGCAAACAGGAUUAGAUACCCGUGUAGUC
This 460-nucleotide ribosomal RNA is filed under the name uncultured bacterium. RNAcentral's name for it is "partial 16S ribosomal RNA". It matches the Rfam family "Bacterial small subunit ribosomal RNA", at positions 338 to 795 of the family's 1533-position model. The record is from RNAcentral.